This 253-nucleotide ribosomal RNA is filed under the name uncultured bacterium. Its description in RNAcentral is "partial 16S ribosomal RNA". It matches the Rfam family "Bacterial small subunit ribosomal RNA", at positions 524 to 776 of the family's 1533-position model. The record is from RNAcentral.
CACGUAGGCACCAAGCGUUGUCCGGAUUUAUUGGGCGUAAAGAGCGUGUAGGCGGCCAGGUAGGUCCGUUGUGAAAACUCGAGGCUCAACCUCGAGACGCCGAUGGAAACCAUCUGGCUAGAGUCCGGAAGAGGCGAGUGGAAUUCCUGGUGUAGCGGUGGAAUGCGCAGAUAUCAGGAGGAACACCAAUAGCGAAGGCAGCUCGCUGGGACGGUACUGACGCUAAGGCGCGAAAGCGUGGGGAGCGAACAGG